Molecule: ribosomal RNA, 279 nt
Filed under: uncultured bacterium
Lineage: Bacteria
Description: partial 16S ribosomal RNA
Rfam family: Bacterial small subunit ribosomal RNA
Source: RNAcentral
CCUACGGGGCGCAGCAGUGGGGAAUAUUGCACAAUGGGGGAAACCCUGAUGCAGCGACGCCGCGUGAAGGAAGAAGUAUUUCGGUAUGUAAACUUCUAUCAGCAGGGAAGAAAAUGACGGUACCUGACUAAGAAGCCCCGGCUAACUACGUGCCAGCAGCCGCGGUAAUACGUAGGUGGCAAGCGUUAUCCGGAUUUACUGGGUGUAAAGGGCGUGUAGGCGGGAGAGCAAGUCAGACGUGAAAUUCCAGGGCUCAAACCUGGAACUGCGUUUGAAAAU